Molecule: long non-coding RNA, 311 nt
Organism: Esox lucius (northern pike)
Lineage: Eukaryota; Metazoa; Chordata; Actinopteri; Esociformes; Esocidae
Exons: 3
Source: RefSeq, a predicted model, not a curated record
UCAGGAGGAUGACUGUGUGGCAGUAGUUCCACGCCUGUGGCUCAAAGGGGGAGGGCCACCACACAGCUUCACCUGCAGGAAGUCCUUCAGCCAGGACUUGUUCACCACCUGAAGACACCUGGGAGGCUGUCCCUUAUAAACCCAUCAAGCAAGCAGAUACGAGAGAGACUGGACGUGUGUAUUGCCAGAGGAGCGAAAAUCGUUCCAGCAUGGGCCCCUACCACGCCAAGGACGCACAUCUACACCACAACACCCUGUGGGUUGCAGCCCUGGAGGAUGGAACAAGCACAGUACUCCAAGGCACCAGAGAG